GGGUCAGUAGGUUGGUCGUGCCACCGGUACGUACUGGUCUCACUGAUUCCUCCCUCCUGAAGAACCGUAAUGCCAUUAAUUUGGUGUUGCGGGGAAACAGGACUGUUACUUUGAAAAAAUUAGAGUGUUUAAAGCAAGCUAAUGCUUGAAUACAUUAGCAUGGAAUAAUGAAAUAGGACGAUCGAUCCUAUUUUGUUGGUUUCUAGGAUUGACGUA
RNAcentral lists this ribosomal RNA (216 nucleotides) under Glomeromycotina sp. RNAcentral's name for it is "partial small subunit ribosomal RNA". The stretch from base 40 to 216 matches the Rfam family "Eukaryotic small subunit ribosomal RNA", at positions 686 to 864 of the family's 1831-position model. Lineage: Eukaryota; Fungi; Glomeromycota. The record is from RNAcentral.